This 425-nucleotide ribosomal RNA is filed under the name uncultured bacterium. Its description in RNAcentral is "partial 16S ribosomal RNA". It matches the Rfam family "Bacterial small subunit ribosomal RNA", at positions 354 to 796 of the family's 1533-position model. The record is from RNAcentral.
GUGGGGAAUAUUGGACAAUGGGCGAAAGCCUGAUCCAGCAAUGCCGCGUGAGUGAUGAAGGCCUUAGGGUUGUAAAGCUCUUUUACCAGGGAUGAUAAUGACAGUACCUGGAGAAUAAGCUCCGGAUAACUCCGUGCAAGCAGCCGCGGUAAUACGGAGGGAGCUAGCGUUGUUCGGAAUUACUGGGCGUAAAGCGCACGUAGGCGGUUACUCAAGUCAGAGGUGAAAGCCCGGGGCUCAACCCCGGAACUGCCUUUGAAACUAGGUAACUAGAAUCUUGGAGAGGUCAGUGGAAUUCCGAGUGUAGAGGUGAAAUUCGUAGAUAUUCGGAAGAACACCAGUGGCGAAGGCGACUGACUGGACAAGUAUUGACGCUGAGGUGCGAAAGCGUGGGGAGCAAACAGGAUUAGAAACCCGUGUAGUCC